RNAcentral lists this long non-coding RNA (285 nucleotides) under Brassica napus (rape). RNAcentral's name for it is "long non-coding RNA (BNAP_LNC001143)". Lineage: Eukaryota; Viridiplantae; Streptophyta; Magnoliopsida; Brassicales; Brassicaceae. The record is from RNAcentral.
UAUAAGAAUCUUAAUAUAAAACUCUUAUAUCCCAUUUUCAAAAAUACAUUCUUACAUCCCCAUUCAUAUCUAUAUAUAUAAUAAAUCAUUAUUUAAAAAACAUAAUAAUUUUUUUUAUGUUUUUGAAUUAUACAUUUUCAAAUUCAAAUUUUUUUUUAUUUUUUUCAAAAUUUCUUUUCUGAAAAUCGAAAAUUAUGUUUGAAACUAUUUCUUUCUUUUAAAUAUUUAUUUAUAUAUUUUUUUUAAUCCUAAAUUUCACAUUUCAAAAACCUUAUCCCACCCCUC